Spinacia oleracea (spinach) is the source of this 197-nucleotide non-coding RNA. The record is from Rfam. NCBI's taxonomy places the organism in Eukaryota, Viridiplantae, Streptophyta, Magnoliopsida, Caryophyllales, Amaranthaceae.
AUACCUUUCUCGGCCUUUUGGCUAAGAUCAAGUGUAGUAUCUGUUCUUAUCAGUUGAAUAUCUGAUACGUGGACCAAUGGUCCACAACGAUAUUAAUUUUUUUUUUUAAGGGGGAAGUCCCAUCACAGUAGCUUGCUUCUGGGGUCUUCAAGCGUCGCCCAUGCGUUGCACUACUGCACGAGCCUGGCGCACCCCCC